AAAUAAUAUACCAUUCACGUCCACCAUCCUUUUAAAGUCAUCAAGUCAGAUAGAGUUAAAUAGAGUAUCAUGUUUAAAUAGUCUGAUAUUUGUAGUUGGCAUCUUCGUGCAUUCCUUCGGAUCAAGAUGCAGCGAUGGAAGAUUACGGUAUAUAAAGAGCCACACGCAUACUUGAAUACAGAUGUGAUGUGAGAUCAUCCACAGCUUGAUGCACGCAUGAUUGCCGAUAUCAUUAGA
RNAcentral lists this long non-coding RNA (237 nucleotides) under Elaeis guineensis (African oil palm). RNAcentral describes it as "long non-coding RNA (EGUI_LNC024581)". The record is from RNAcentral. Lineage: Eukaryota; Viridiplantae; Streptophyta; Magnoliopsida; Arecales; Arecaceae.